This 343-nucleotide RNase P RNA is filed under the name Clostridiaceae bacterium. RNAcentral's name for it is "RNase P RNA component class A". It matches the Rfam family "Bacterial RNase P class A". Rfam says of the family: Ribonuclease P (RNase P) is a ubiquitous endoribonuclease, found in archaea, bacteria and eukarya as well as chloroplasts and mitochondria. Its best characterised activity is the generation of mature 5'-ends of tRNAs by cleaving the 5'-leader elements of precursor-tRNAs. Lineage: Bacteria; Bacillati; Bacillota; Clostridia; Eubacteriales; Clostridiaceae. The record is from RNAcentral.
UGAGUAAGCCAGGCGGUUGCGUAUCGGUGCGAGCCGGUAUGAGGAAAGUCCGCGCUGCACAGGGCAAGGAUAACAGAUAACGUCUGCCGGGGGCGACCCUAGGAAUAGUGCAACAGAGAAAUACCGCCGUGCGCCCCGGUGCAUGGUAAGGGUGGAAAGGCGAGGUAAGAGCUCACCACGCCCCGUGGUAACACGGGGGGUCUGUAAACUCUAUCCGCAGCAACAUCGACAGGGGCUACAGCUUGCCCGGCUGCCCCGAAGGAUGGCUAGAGGCGUGCGGCGACGCGCGUCCCAGAUAGAUGACCGCCAAAUACAGAACGCGGCUUACAGGCUUACUCACACC